UUUGACUCAUUAUUUCGAUGUACACAUAUAUAUGAUUUACAACUGUGUACACGAUAGUUAUCAUUACUUCGAUGUACACAUAUAUAUCAUUUACAACUAUGUACAUGUGUACACAUAGAUAUCUUUACAAUAGUGUACACAUCGAUGUACACAUAUUUUUAGAUCAGAAAUGAAUAUAUUCAAAUUUCUAGGGACCAAAUGUGCAAUAAAGCUAAAACUGGCCAUUGUUGCCCAUCAAGCUUUUGCAACAAUGGCGACGAGAAAGAGGCGGCGACGAGUAGGAGGCAACAAGGAGACAGAGAAGAGAUGGAGGCAGAGGUUUCAGUCGACGGAGGCGGAAAGAGAAAGCCUGUUACAGGAGGCGGAGACUUUGGUUUUGAGUUGAAGAAAUCAUUCUAUGGAGGUUCCAAAUCCUUUUGCCUCUUCUCCGUAUUGAGUUUUUGGAUCUGUAGCUCUACAAAAAAAAAAGUAAAUUAGUGAUACAUAAAGUAAAAGAGAAAAAAUUAUGAUGGUGAAAAGUAAAAAUUUGCAAAAAAAAAUAUAGGUUACAUGUAAAAAAGGAAGAAGUCGAACAUAUUUUCCAAAAGAAAAAAGAAAACAUAGUGAUGAUCAGAUAGAGAGAAGAGAGAAAUAAUGCAAGUUGUAAGUGUGGGACCAUAUUAGUCACAUAAAUUAUUUUAGUUAGCAAUUAUUUGGUUUUAGUUUUAAAAAAGUACCUCAGUAGUUGAAACUGUCUUUUCUUAUAAUAAAAACAUCAAAACUGCCUUUGAGUGUUAAUAACUCUUAUAUUGAUGUAUACAUGACAACUAAACUUUAUAAUGACAACUACCCAAUUCCUGCAUUGAUGUUGGAUGAUUACUACAUCGAGCGGUGGAUCACCCAUUCCCAUUCGUACCAGUUGGAUCUUUCUGAUUCAAAGAUAUUACACUAACCAUCAAUCAACGUUUCAAUAGGUAACAUGCUCAAUCAAAUAGAGUAUCAAAAGAAACAAGAGGCUUUAAGAAAAAAAGUAUUUCAUUAUAGCAAAAGAAAAAAAUGUGCGCUUGAGAAUGUUACCAUGUACUUAUUCGAAGUGAUUUUCCCCUAAGCGCAUCGGUAAUGGCUUCAUUCUUCUUUGUCUCAGCUUCAGACAAAUCAUUCCAAGCCCUAAAUAAACUAUAUUUUUGACUUGUACCGCAAGCCAAGUUAGGUUUUACCAAAUGAUGACAGAAAGGAAUAAUGAAAAAUUUAAUUAAAGGCUAACCCCUCAUGUAUCCAAGUGUAGUCCCUCUGGCAUGCUUAGCUUUGAAAAGAUAAG
This 1297-nucleotide long non-coding RNA is filed under the name Brassica rapa (field mustard). Its description in RNAcentral is "long non-coding RNA (BRAP_LNC004156)". Lineage: Eukaryota; Viridiplantae; Streptophyta; Magnoliopsida; Brassicales; Brassicaceae. The record is from RNAcentral.